GGCUUGUAGCUCAGUGGUAGGGCACUUUCCUGCCAUGUGGGAGGCAUUGAGUUCAAUUCUCAGCACCA
Molecule: transfer RNA, 68 nt
Filed under: Marmota monax (woodchuck)
Lineage: Eukaryota; Metazoa; Chordata; Mammalia; Rodentia; Sciuridae
Description: tRNA.Gly
Rfam family: tRNA (bases 5-65)
About the family: Transfer RNA (tRNA) molecules are approximately 80 nucleotides in length. Their secondary structure includes four short double-helical elements and three loops (D, anti-codon, and T loops).
Source: RNAcentral